AAGAAAAAAAAUAUCCAAUGGAAAAAUAAAAUAAAAUAGUAAAAAUUCGAAAAAUGUAAUUUUAUUGGUAACACAGCAAUAAUGCGGUAAGUAGCAAGUACACUAAAAGCUGAAUAUAAACUAACUAGUUAUAACAGGGAUAAAAUUACAAAGUAGAGACACAAAACAAACGUAUGCAUGUUAAAGCUACUAAAAAUAAAAUUCUCAAACUUAUGCAAUCGUUGCUAAUAUCAAUAAUAUGCAAAUAUUGUACAAUCCUUUAUGAAUUUCAUUAGCUCAGCAACACAUCUCGCAGAUCCAGCAGCAGCACAGAGCAAAGAGGCUGCAUCAAUCAUAACAGUUGCAUCAGAAAUUAACCAUUUUAAUUUUUUUUUUCAAUUUCAUUACAUAUCUUAAACUAGAAAUUUUAUUAUAGUUAGGGAGGAGGAGGACUAUAACAAAAAGAAAAACAAUGAUUUAAUUUACUUAAUGCUUACCAUCCCUCAAUGAAGCCCCUCUCUCCUUUCUUCUUAGUCCUAGACAUAAACCCUUUCUUGGUGGGAGGAUCCUGAUCAGUUGGGUAUCCUGAAAAUCAUGCAAAAAAAUGAUUUUUGUUAUCAGGGUGUUCAAAUAAUCAAAUAGGUUUUGUUUGAAAAGAAAAAAAAAAGAAAAAGAGAGAUGAACCUGGUGGUGGAGGAGCUUGGUUUCCCUGUGUCUCUGGCUUCUGCAUCUUGAUGAAUGAAAAAAUCCAACAGUUUUAGAUUCUCAAUAAGCAAUUGUCGAUGUAAAAUACCUUAUUGAACUUUGUUCUGUUAAAGAAAGAGAAUAUAUGUGUCUGUAUAACCUAUGAUAUAUAUACUGUAAUGUUGAUCUUCUACUUUGUCUCUGUGUAUAUAUAUAUCAUAAGAUAACAUCACACUUAUUACCUGACAGUUAAAAUAAUAAUUUU
Molecule: long non-coding RNA, 928 nt
Filed under: Arachis ipaensis
Lineage: Eukaryota; Viridiplantae; Streptophyta; Magnoliopsida; Fabales; Fabaceae
Description: long non-coding RNA (AIPA_LNC001391)
Source: RNAcentral